This 219-nucleotide long non-coding RNA is filed under the name Salvia miltiorrhiza (redroot sage). RNAcentral describes it as "long non-coding RNA (SMIL_LNC003265)". The record is from RNAcentral. Lineage: Eukaryota; Viridiplantae; Streptophyta; Magnoliopsida; Lamiales; Lamiaceae.
UGUGUUAAACCUUUUGUCGUUUACAUGCAAAAAUAAAAUAAAAAUGAAAUAGCAUUGCCAAAAACGCCGCGUUUAAUGGUGGGUGGGUAAAUCUAAAUUUGAAAAGGCUUGAGAUACGCGAUCAUUUUGGGGAGGGAGUGAGGAGAAGCGAAAGAUGAACAAUCGAAGAUCCGAAAUUAAGUAAUGAUCCUGAGGUUUGAGGAUUCGAGCUCAACUAAG